GCCACACACUGAAAUACCGGUUCCCGUACGAUCACCGAAGUUAAGCAACAUCGAGCCUGGUUAAUAUUUAGAUGGGUGACCACUUGUGAAUACCAGGUGCUGUAA
RNAcentral lists this ribosomal RNA (105 nucleotides) under Acanthosepion pharaonis. Lineage: Eukaryota; Metazoa; Mollusca; Cephalopoda; Sepiida; Sepiidae. The record is from RNAcentral.